This is a microRNA precursor of Oryza sativa Japonica Group (Japanese rice), 199 nucleotides long. It matches the Rfam family "MIR812 microRNA precursor family". The record is from Rfam. NCBI's taxonomy places the organism in Eukaryota, Viridiplantae, Streptophyta, Magnoliopsida, Poales, Poaceae.
CCUAACAAUAGUUUUCCACGUUCAAUUUUGACCAUUCUUCUUAUAUGAAAAUUUUUUUAAAAAUAAUUAAAACAUAAGUCAUGAGUAAAGUCCUAUUCAUAUUUUAUCAUCUUAUAACAAUAAAAAUGGUAAUUAUAAAAAAAAUUUAAAUAAGACAGACGAUCAAAGUUAAGCGCGGAAACUUAUGGCUGCACUUAUU